AGCGGCGAACGGGUGAGUAACACAUCGGAACGUACCCACUUGUGGGGGAUAACGAAUCGAAAGAUUCGCUAAUACCGCAUAAGACCUGAGGGUGAAAGCGGGGGACCGAAAGGCCUCGCGCGAGUGGAGCGGCCGAUGUCGGAUUAGCUAGUUGGUGAGGUAAAGGCUCACCAAGGCGACGAUCCGUAGCGGGUCUGAGAGGACGACCCGCCACACUGGAACUGAGACACGGUCCAGACUCCUACGGGAGGCAGCAGUGGGGAAUUUUGGACAAUGGGCGCAAGCCUGAUCCAGCCAUUCCGCGUGAGUGAAGAAGGCCUUCGGGUUGUAAAGCUCUUUCGGCAGGAACGAAACGGUCUCUCCUAAUACGGGGGGCUAAUGACGGUACCUGAAGAAGAAGCACCGGCUAACUACGUGCCAGCAGCCGCGGUAAUACGUAGGGUGCGAGCGUUAAUCGGAAUUACUGGGCGUAAAGCGUGCGCAGGCGGUUUUGUAAGACAGAUGUGAAAUCCCCGGGCUUAACCUGGGAACUGCGUUUGUGACUGCAAGACUUGAGUGCGGCAGAGGGGGGUGGAAUUCCACGUGUAGCAGUGAAAUGCGUAGAGAU
This 607-nucleotide ribosomal RNA is filed under the name uncultured bacterium. RNAcentral's name for it is "bacterial SSU rRNA". It matches the Rfam family "Bacterial small subunit ribosomal RNA", at positions 94 to 697 of the family's 1533-position model. The record is from RNAcentral.